Molecule: long non-coding RNA, 129 nt
Organism: Helianthus annuus (common sunflower)
Lineage: Eukaryota; Viridiplantae; Streptophyta; Magnoliopsida; Asterales; Asteraceae
Exons: 2
Source: RefSeq, a predicted model, not a curated record
CAGGAAGUUGGUGUGGUUCAUAGAAGAUGGCAUCUCUGGAGGAGGAUUUAUGAUUUGUACUUGGGUAAUGAGCAGUUUGCAGUGGUUGAGAAUCCUGGGUUUUGGUAUUGGACAUUUACCUUGAAGGAC